RNAcentral lists this ribosomal RNA (702 nucleotides) under uncultured bacterium. RNAcentral describes it as "bacterial SSU rRNA". It matches the Rfam family "Bacterial small subunit ribosomal RNA", at positions 8 to 703 of the family's 1533-position model. The record is from RNAcentral.
AGAGUUUGAUCCUGGCUCAGGAUGAACGCUAGCGGCAGGCUUAAUACAUGCAAGUCGAGGGGCAGCGCAGUGUAGCAAUACAUGGGCGGCGACCGGCAAACGGGUGCGGAACACGUACACAACCUUCCUUUCAGCGGGGAAUAGCCCAGAGAAAUUUGGAUUAAUACCCCAUAGUAUAUUGGCCUGGCAUCAGGUUAUUAUUAAAGAUUUAUCACUGAAAGAUGGGUGUGCGGCUGAUUAGGUAGUUGGCGGGGUAACGGCCCACCAAGCCUGCGAUCAGUAACUGGUGUGAGAGCACGACCAGUCACACGGGCACUGAGACACGGGCCCGACUCCUACGGGAGGCAGCAGUAAGGAAUAUUGGUCAAUGGACGCAAGUCUGAACCAGCCAUGCCGCGUGGAGGAUGAAGGCCCUCUGGGUUGUAAACUUCUUUUAUCUGGGACGAAAAAAGGCCUUUCUAGGUCACUUGACGGUACCAGAGGAAUAAGCACCGGCUAACUCCGUGCCAGCAGCCGCGGUAAUACGGAGGGUGCAAGCGUUAUCCGGAUUCACUGGGUUUAAAGGGUGCGUAGGUGGGUUGGUAAGUCAGUGGUGAAAUCUCCGANCUUAACUUGGAAACUGCCAUUGAUACUAUCAGUCUUGAAUAUUGUGGAGGUCAGCGGAAUAUGUCAUGUANCGGUGAAAUGCUUAGAUAUGACAUA